CCCAAGGAAGAAGACGAAGAAGAAGAAGAGGACGAAGUGAUUGAGUGGAA
RNAcentral lists this small RNA (50 nucleotides) under Arabidopsis thaliana (thale cress). RNAcentral describes it as "ATSL118330". The record is from RNAcentral. Lineage: Eukaryota; Viridiplantae; Streptophyta; Magnoliopsida; Brassicales; Brassicaceae.